Molecule: ribosomal RNA, 472 nt
Filed under: Enterococcus casseliflavus
Lineage: Bacteria; Bacillati; Bacillota; Bacilli; Lactobacillales; Enterococcaceae
Description: bacterial SSU rRNA
Rfam family: Bacterial small subunit ribosomal RNA
Source: RNAcentral
CUUUUUCUUUCACGGAGCUUGCUCCACCGAAAGAAAAAGAGUGGCGAACGGGUGAGUAACACGUGGGUAACCUGCCCAUCAGAAGGGGAUAACACUUGGAAACAGGUGCUAAUACCGUAUAACACUAUUUUCCGCAUGGAAGAAAGUUGAAAGGCGCUUUUGCGUCACUGAUGGAUGGACCCGCGGUGCAUUAGCUAGUUGGUGAGGUAACGGCUCACCAAGGCAACGAUGCAUAGCCGACCUGAGAGGGUGAUCGGCCACACUGGGACUGAGACACGGCCCAGACUCCUACGGGAGGCAGCAGUAGGGAAUCUUCGGCAAUGGACGAAAGUCUGACCGAGCAACGCCGCGUGAGUGAAGAAGGUUUUCGGAUCGUAAAACUCUGUUGUUAGAGAAGAACAAGGAUGAGAGUAAAAUGUUCAUCCCUUGACGGUAUCUAACCAGAAAGCCACGGCUAACUACGUGCCCAGCA